UACGUAGGUCGCAAGCGUUAUCCGGAAUUAUUGGGCGUAAAGAGUGAGCAGGCGGCAUGGUAAGUCUGGAGUGAAAGCGUGGGGCUUAACCCCAUACAGCUUUGGAUACUACCAAGCUAGAGUACGUCAGAGGUUAACAGAACUCCAUGUGUAGCGGUGAAAUGCGUAGAUAUAUGGAAGAAUACCAGUGGCGAAGGCGGUUAACCAGGACGAUACUGACGCUCAGUCACGAAAGCGUGGGGAGC
RNAcentral lists this ribosomal RNA (245 nucleotides) under uncultured bacterium. Its description in RNAcentral is "partial 16S ribosomal RNA". It matches the Rfam family "Bacterial small subunit ribosomal RNA", at positions 524 to 769 of the family's 1533-position model. The record is from RNAcentral.